CUUGAUAGACUGACAGACCUAUUGGUGGGGAAACACAGAAACAAAGAAUGGGAAAAACAGUGAAAGGCAGAAUGGGGAACUGAGAAAAUUUAGAAGAAAAGUCCAUCCAAGAUUCCCGUCUUAUGGGCCGCGCGGAAAAUCUGGUAACACUGGGGCGCCAGGAUCCGAAGGAUCCAUCCAAAAAGCCAUGCUCCUUCGGUGUGGUUGUGAAUGUGCCAAUGGUAAGACAGAGCCCUUGAAGCUGCCUAGAUCCUCGUUAACAUCCGGGUCGCAUCGCCGGACAUGGACAAUAAUGACAUAAUUGAGAGCAAAAUUGCCAGCACGGCCCUCCUUUUGCCUGCAUCAUCUGCCUCACCAUAAGCUCUCCCUCUUCCUCCUGCAUC
This 383-nucleotide long non-coding RNA is filed under the name Spirodela polyrhiza (greater duckweed). Its description in RNAcentral is "long non-coding RNA (SPOL_LNC000491)". Lineage: Eukaryota; Viridiplantae; Streptophyta; Magnoliopsida; Alismatales; Araceae. The record is from RNAcentral.